GAGGAUAAAGCUACUAUGAAAUUGAACCAGCAAUGAAAUAAAUUUUAAAAAAUUCUUUCAGAAUGGAGGGAAAAAGAGAUUAUCAAGCUUAAAAAAUGCCAACCAGUAUUCUAACCCAAGUGUAAAUAACAAGAUGAUAGAGAACUCUUGUAACUUGCAAAAAAACAAUUUAGUACCCCUUGAUUGAUGCCUAGUGUAAUGACUAAUUCUCUUGUUUCAUUUUUCUUACAGAUAAAAACAAAUUGGCUGCCAUCCGAGUCUGCCACAAACCCAAAUCGCCAAGCAAGCCCAUGGACAUCCUGAAGUUCAAACCUAUGUUGGGCAAGGAUCGCAAAUCUUUGACACCGUUCAAGCCAAAAUUGGCUUUCAUGAAGUACUUGGAGGGAGCCGGAAAGCCUCUGCCUAAGUCAAGCCUCGCAGCGUCGCCAAAGGUGAAUGUGACCCGCAAAAGCGGCACGCCAGCAGGUGAAAAUUCUCUUGAAGGAGUUGAUCAGCUGUUCAAAACUCCAUUCAAGAAAGGAACUACUAAAGUUGUCUCCGCAACCACCCCUAAAACGACUCCUAAGGCCGCCCUGAAGGCUACUCCCAAAACCACGCCAAAGGCAACCCCCAAAGCUACUCCAAAAUCAGCUGCUAAGGCCACUCCAAAGGCUACUCCUAGAGCCACUCCAAAGGCUACUCCAAAAGCUACUCCAAAGUCAGCUGCUAAGGCCACUCCGAAAGCAACCCCUAAGGCUACUCCUAAAGCUACUCCAAAAGCUACUCCAAAAGCUACCCCAAAAGCUACUCCAAAAGCUACUCCCAAAGCCACCCUAAAGCAACUCCAAAAGCUACACCCAUAGCAGUUGCUAAAGCCACUCCAAAAGUUAGCCCUAAAGUGACUCCCAAAGCUACUCCUAAAGCCACCCAAAAGCAACUCCCAAAGCCACCCCUAAAGCAACUCCCAAAGCCACACCUAAAGCAACUCCAAAAGCUACACCCAGAGCAGCUGCUAAAGCUACUCCGAAAGUAACGAUUUCAAAGGCAACUCCUGAAAAAUCCCAGGCAGCUACUCCUGCAGCAGCGCUUAAAGCCUCUCCAGCGCUGAAAGCUAGAGCAUCUAAAACACCAGCAAAGGCAUCACCCACGAAAACACCAGCUUCUCUGAGGAAAGGAGCAAUUUCAGCAAAAAAAUUAAAGCUUCUUAACAAGAAAAGCUCAUCCCCCACCACCUCGAAAACUCCUCCGAAAUACAGUGAGGAAGGCACAAAAACAAUCGCAGCGCUGUGG
RNAcentral lists this long non-coding RNA (1269 nucleotides) under Bemisia tabaci. Its description in RNAcentral is "lncRNA ENSASIAIIG003757". Lineage: Eukaryota; Metazoa; Arthropoda; Insecta; Hemiptera; Aleyrodidae. The record is from RNAcentral.